This 253-nucleotide ribosomal RNA is filed under the name uncultured bacterium. RNAcentral's name for it is "partial 16S ribosomal RNA". It matches the Rfam family "Bacterial small subunit ribosomal RNA", at positions 524 to 776 of the family's 1533-position model. The record is from RNAcentral.
UACAGAGGUCCCAAGCGUUGUUCGGAUUCACUGGGCGUAAAGGGUGCGUAGGUGGCCUGGAAAGUUUGAUGUGAAAGCUCGGAGCUUAACUCCGAAAUGGCAUUGAAUACUACUGGGCUUGAGGGUCGGAGGGGAGACUGGAAUUCUCGGUGUAGCAGUGAAAUGCGUAGAUAUCGAGAGGAACACCAGUGGCGAAGGCGGCUCUCUGGGACGGUACUGGCGCUGAGACGCGAAAGCGUGGGGAGCGAACAGG